GGGCGUUUAGCUCAGCUGGUUCAGAGUACUUGAAUGACAUUCAAGGGGUCGACGGUUCGAACCCGCCAACGCCCA
RNAcentral lists this transfer RNA (75 nucleotides) under Bacteroidales bacterium. RNAcentral describes it as "tRNA-Val". It matches the Rfam family "tRNA". Rfam says of the family: Transfer RNA (tRNA) molecules are approximately 80 nucleotides in length. Their secondary structure includes four short double-helical elements and three loops (D, anti-codon, and T loops). RNAcentral also lists the same sequence under 2 other names. The record is from RNAcentral. Lineage: Bacteria; Pseudomonadati; Bacteroidota; Bacteroidia; Bacteroidales.